This 711-nucleotide ribosomal RNA is filed under the name Triticum aestivum (bread wheat). RNAcentral describes it as "partial small subunit ribosomal RNA". The record is from RNAcentral. Lineage: Eukaryota; Viridiplantae; Streptophyta; Magnoliopsida; Poales; Poaceae.
AUGGAUCCUUAUCCUCCCGAAAAUAGACUCGGCGCCCUCGUGGUUUGUAGCGGCACACUCCCUUCCCACGCCGCCGAAGAGGCCCCCAGGGCGGCCGACGACGCCUUUAGCGGCCUUCCGGAGACACAGCAAGUCUGGCCUACGGUGGGGUGGCGGCAUGCGCAGCAUGGUCGUCGUUUGAUUCAGGAGCGACCUCCGGCUGCUGAACAACCAGUCACUGGAGCACGUGUGGAUGGCCUCUGGCACUGUCCUCACCAAUGGAGGAGCCUCGCCUAUGCUGCAGUGCUGCAGGGCGGUGGUCGGGGUGGUCCGCACCGGCGCCUACAAUGUGUGCCUCAUCCUAACUGGCAAAGUGAUCUUCAGCCUCCCCAUCAACUACACCCUCGGCAUCUCCCUUCCGAGGAUCUAUACGGCGACGCAGAUCCUAGCUCCAGAUGUCUUAAAUUCUCCUUUGUUGACCUUGCCUUGACAUCGCCUCGAUGUCUCGCAAUUCUUCCGCACUGUUGCCACCGGAUUCGUCGGUUGAUGAGAAGGCGCUGUUGCCGUGAGUGGAAUCGACGCCGAUCAUGCAGGGGCAGAGAUAGGUGGUGGUACCCAUCAUGCGUUGGUAGAUAUGUUUUUGCAAGUCUGUGUUACACUUGGUAUUGUGUGCGUAUGUAUGUAGUUAGACAAGUAAAUCUGUUUCAUGGAGGAGAGAGUGCAGCUCUGUGA